AGAACGAACGCUGGCGGCAUGCCUAACACAUGCAAGUCGAACGAGACCUUCGGGUCUAGUGGCGCACGGGUGCGUAACGCGUGGGAAUCUGCCCUUGGGUUCGGGAUAACAGUUGGAAACGACUGCUAAUACCGGAUGAUGACUUCGGUCCAAAGAUUUAUCGCCCAAGGAUGAGCCCGCGUAGGAUUAGCUUGUUGGUGAGGUAAGAGCUCACCAAGGCGACGAUCCUUAGCUGGUCUGAGAGGAUGAUCAGCCACACUGGGACUGAGACACGGCCCAGACUCCUACGGGAGGCAGCAGUGGGGAAUAUGGACAAUGGGCGAAAGCCUGAUCCAGCAAUGCCGCGUGAGUGAUGAAGGCCUUAGGGUGUAAAGCUCUUUUACCCGGGAUGAUAAUGACAGUACCGGAGAAUAAGCCCCGGACUAACUCCGUGCCAGCACGCCGC
This 445-nucleotide ribosomal RNA is filed under the name uncultured soil bacterium. RNAcentral's name for it is "bacterial SSU rRNA". It matches the Rfam family "Bacterial small subunit ribosomal RNA", at positions 26 to 518 of the family's 1533-position model. The record is from RNAcentral.